This 512-nucleotide ribosomal RNA is filed under the name uncultured bacterium. Its description in RNAcentral is "partial 16S ribosomal RNA". It matches the Rfam family "Bacterial small subunit ribosomal RNA", at positions 28 to 523 of the family's 1533-position model. The record is from RNAcentral.
GACGAACGCUGGCGGCGUGCCUAAUACAUGCAAGUCGAGCGAAUGGAUGGGAGCUUGCUCCCUGAAGUUAGCGGCGGACGGGUGAGUAACACGUGGGCAACCUGCCUAUAAGACUGGGAUAACUUCGGGAAACCGGAGCUAAUACCAGAUAAUUCAUGUCUACUCAUGUAGGUGUGCUGAAAGACGGUUUACGCUGUCACUUAUAGAUGGGCCCGCGGCGCAUUAGAUAGUUGGUGAGGUAACGGCUCACCAAGGCGACGAUGCGUAGCCGACCUGAGAGGGUGAUCGGCCACACUGGGACUGAGACACGGCCCAGACUCCUACGGGAGGCAGCAGUAGGGAAUCUUCCGCAAUGGACGAAAGUCUGACGGAGCAACGCCGCGUGAGUGAUGAAGGUUUUCGGAUCGUAAAACUCUGUUGUUAGGGAAGAACAAGUACUAGAGUAACUGCUAGUACCUUGACGGUACCUAACCAGAAAGCCACGGCUAACUACGUGCCAGCCGCCGCCGUAA